AGCACAUUUACUCAAUGUGUGAGCCAUAUGUUUUGAUGUACUUGAACAUAGCCAUCACUAUGCAAGAAAUAACCGUGCACUUGUUCGUUUGAGUCUGCUUUAAAUUAUGUAAAACUUGCUUAAAAAGGCAUCCAAAAUGUGCAGUUUUUCUUAAAAAAAAAAUGCAAGAUCUAACAUAUGAAUAUUAUUGUUAUAAUCUGUUGCAGAACACAGGGUUUUAGCAUCAUUAAGACGAGUAGAUCCUGAAGGAAUGGAACUGCGCAGGUUACACCUUAGGACGUCCCGACGCCGACGUUACAGUGUACCAGCUCCCAACAGUGUCUGGCACAUUGAUGGGAACCAUAAACUUAUUCGAUGGAAAAUUGUUAUCCACGGGGGUACUGACGGCUAUUCCCGACUUAAAAGCUGCUACAAACAACAAGGCUCAAACAGUGCUGCAAAGCUUCCUGUCUGCUGUACAAAUAUAUGGUGUUCCCUCUAGAGUGCGUUCUGACAAGGGGGGGGAAUGUAAUGGUUGCCCGCUUCAUGAUAAAAACAAGGGAAACAAACAGACAUUCACACAUUACAGGAAGAAGUGUGCACAACCAGAGAAUUGAGCGGCUGUGGAGAGAUGUCUUUGACCAAGUAACAGACCUCUUCUACACCACCUUUCGUCAGUUGGAAAAUGAAGGAUGGCUUAAUCCAGACCAGGAUGUGGACUUGUUUGCAUUGCACUGGUCUUACAUGCCACAAAUUCAGAGGAAUCUACAAGAAUUUCGGAGUGCCUGGAAUAGUCACAGUCUAAGAUCUGCAGGCAACAGAACUCCUCUGCAGCUUUGGUCAAAUCAUGAGAGGGAUGACCCAAAUCUGGUCAUUUUGCAGUGAUUUAGUUAAUUACUUUACUUUUUUUCUUCUUCCCCCAUUUAUUUCUUCACUGAUUAAUUGUUUGAUACAAUGGAAAAUUUAAGAGUAAAAAUUGAAACUUAAGUACUGAUCGAUUGUUUUUUUCAAAUUACUGUUUUAAAUUAAGUCUUCUAAAUGAUUUAUUCAUAUUGUAACUGUUUUAGAUUGACAUUGAUGAUGAAGUCAGGGAAGACCUUGAAGGGCAACAAGCAGAAGGUGUUCAUGUUCCUGAGUUGGAUCUACCUCGUGGCUUGACUGAAGAAGAGUUGGUAACACUACCAAACCCGGAUGUACCUUUUUCAGAUGCACUGUCUGUCUACAUGGAAACAGUUCUUGCUAUAAAACAAAUGCUUGGUGAAUCAUAGUCUUCUCUUUUAAAGGUUUACAUACUUUAGGCAUAGAAAUUGUAUAUGUGCUUAUCAGACAGGCCAGUUGUAUUGUUGAUCAGGAACCACCGACACAGUAACAUCUGAAAAAACAUUUCAUUUAAUUUAUGCAUUAACAUACUGUAAAGAACAUUUUAAACCCCUCAUUAAAGUUGGAAUGAACAAUGUCAGAAUAGCCACUGUUAAAAUUGGUUGCAAGAUAAACAUUUAUGCAUCAAUUAUUAAGUGUUUACAUAAGUUUUUUUUUUUAAGAUACUUUUUUGCAAUGGACAAAUCCUGUAGUAUGAACUAUAGUGCAUUGUCACUGAACAAUAAAACCGCUGAACAACUGUAACAUU
Molecule: long non-coding RNA, 1606 nt
Organism: Ctenopharyngodon idella (grass carp)
Lineage: Eukaryota; Metazoa; Chordata; Actinopteri; Cypriniformes; Xenocyprididae
Exons: 3
Source: RefSeq, a predicted model, not a curated record